AACGAACGCUGGCGGCAUGCCUAACACAUGCAAGUCGAACGAGACCUUCGGGUCUAGUGGCGCACGGGUGCGUAACGCGUGGGAACCUGCCCUUAGGUUCGGAAUAACUCCCCGAAAGGGGUGCUAAUACCGGAUAAUGUCUUCGGACCAAAGAUUUAUCGCCUUUGGAUGGGCCCGCGUUGGAUUAGCUAGUUGGUAGGGUAAAAGCCUACCAAGGCGACGAUCCAUAGCUGGUCUGAGAGGAUGAUCAGCCACACUGGGACUGAGACACGGCUCAGACUCCUACGGGAGGCAGCAGUGGGGAAUAUUGGACAAUGGGCGAAAGCCUGAUCCAGCAAUGCCGCGUGAGUGAUGAAGGCCUUAGGGUUGUAAAGCUCUUUUACCCGGGAUGAUAAUGACGGUACCGGGAGAAUAAGCUCCGGCUAACUCCGUG
RNAcentral lists this ribosomal RNA (433 nucleotides) under uncultured bacterium. Its description in RNAcentral is "partial 16S ribosomal RNA". It matches the Rfam family "Bacterial small subunit ribosomal RNA", at positions 29 to 507 of the family's 1533-position model. The record is from RNAcentral.